GCUUCCUCGCUCCGCCCCCGCCGUCACUCCCCCAGUGCUCCCCUUAGUAACGCGACGUAACACUCCAAAAUAGAACGCAUUGACGUCACAGGGAGGCCAGCGCGACGAGGAGGGAUCCGGAGAGCGGAGCAAGAAGGGAGGGAAGGAGGGGCCGAGCGCGUGCGCGUCGGAGAGAUUCCACCGCUGUAACCAACGUGAGCAAACUCUAAGGACUUACUUGUGGUGCAGUGGUGGUGGAGGGGCUCCCGAAGGAGUCCACCGAAGACAGGUACUGAGAUUCGACCGACGGAGAGGAACUUCCACGGGAGCCGCUGUCCGGGUCACCGGGGAACCCCUGGAACAUCUCCCCGGCACAGCCGAGUGGAACCGAGUACGCGCUCGCGCCCGGACAAAACGGACCGUCACCUGGCGCCCAGCGAAAGAUUUUGACGUCUAAUUUAUCAUUCCAGCGCAUUCACGAGUCACUUUAUUCGACUCGAACGCAUGCAUACCUUCAGAGAUCUCUAUAAAAACGUGUGCGUCAAACAACGUCAACUCAACUUAGCCUUAAAUAUAAACCAGUUCAGCCAUGCGAUCACCUACCGUAGCGAGAUUUACUCUUAGACUCGGUCAAGAUGCCUUUCGUGUCUUUCCAAAAAAGUUGCAUUAAGAUGUCAAUCCGGUGCUGCGUUUGGGAAACAAGUUUACAACUCCAAAGCGGAGACGUCCACACUGUCUGGAGGGGGGGAAAAACUCCUAAAAAAAAAUUAAAGGUUCCUUUUAUUCG
Long non-coding RNA from Tachysurus fulvidraco (yellow catfish), 766 nucleotides. RefSeq lists it as uncharacterized. NCBI's taxonomy places the organism in Eukaryota, Metazoa, Chordata, Actinopteri, Siluriformes, Bagridae. The transcript has 2 exons. The record is from RefSeq and is a predicted model, not a curated record.